Molecule: ribosomal RNA, 465 nt
Filed under: uncultured bacterium
Lineage: Bacteria
Description: partial 16S ribosomal RNA
Rfam family: Bacterial small subunit ribosomal RNA
Source: RNAcentral
GACGAACGCUGGCGGCGUGCUUAACACAUGCAAGUCGAACGGAAAGGCCCUGCUUGCCGGGUACUCGAGUGGCGAACGGGUGAGUAACACGUGGGUGAUCUGCCCUGCACUUCGGGAUAAGCCUGGGAAACUGGGUCUAAUACCGGAUAGGAGCCAUUUUUAGUGUGAUGGUUGGAAAGUUUUUUCGGUGUAGGAUGAGCUCGCGGCCUAUCAGCUUGUUGGUGGGGUAAUGGCCUACCAAGGCGGCGACGGGUAGCCGGCCUGAGAGGGUGGACGGCCACAUUGGGACUGAGAUACGGCCCAGACUCCUACGGGGGGCAGCAGUGGGGAAUAUUGCACAAUGGGCGCGAGCCUGAUGCAGCGACGCCGCGUGGGGGAUGACGGCCUUCGGGUUGGAAACUCCUUUCGCUAGGGACGAAGCUUUUUGUGACGGUACCUAGAUAAGAAGCACCGGCUAACUACGUG